AGACAUCAUUUUUAUACUGAUUGCUUCAACCCUCUGCGAGUCUAAGCUUCUUAUUAACAAACUGGCUUCAUCCCAGAAAUUCAUAAGGGAUUAUAAUGUAGUUACAUAAUCAUAGCUAUUUGAGUUCUCUGACACAGAAAAAUAAGGUGACAAAAUGGCACUUCUCGGAUUAUCACAGAAUUACAAAAUCACAGAAUUGGAGCUGAAAGGGACAUCCAGAGAUCAACGAGUCCAGCCCCCCUGCAAAGAAGGCUCCCUACAGCAGGCUACACAGGCCCAUAUUCCUCAAGAUCACAAACUAAACCAGGGGUGCUAUAGCCCAGACUCCCUACAAAAUCAACUUAUUUGAUGAGUUCAUCUGCAAUGGUGUUUUCUGGACAAAUAACAUGACUCUGAAGAUCAGUGACAUAUCUGCAAGGUACUCUAAGAAUUAUGUAUUACCUAUACAACAUGUACACAACCUCUAUGUACAAAUCGUUUUCUUCAGGACAACUGAGCAAGAGGACACAGUUAAAGACAACAUAAAUUUAGAAGCAAGACAAAGUGUUAACAAGAAAAAUUAUAAGGAAAGAAACAUUAUUUCUGAAGGUUUUCUGUUGCAUUUUAUGCAACAAUUUCUGAUAAAUAAACAAUAGGAGGUUAAUUUCAAAUUCUUUCACGAUGUGUUAAAUCUUCUCAAAUUUUCCUUAUGUGGCCAUAAUGAAAGUAACUUAAAUAAUCC
Long non-coding RNA from Gallus gallus (chicken), 721 nucleotides. NCBI's taxonomy places the organism in Eukaryota, Metazoa, Chordata, Aves, Galliformes, Phasianidae. The record is from Ensembl.